Molecule: ribosomal RNA, 628 nt
Filed under: uncultured Lachnospiraceae bacterium
Lineage: Bacteria; Bacillati; Bacillota; Clostridia; Lachnospirales; Lachnospiraceae
Description: bacterial SSU rRNA
Rfam family: Bacterial small subunit ribosomal RNA
Source: RNAcentral
AUUUCCUUCGGGACUGAUUAUUUUGUGACUGAGUGGCGGACGGGUGAGUAACGCGUGGGUAACCUGCCUUGUACAGGGGGAUAACAGUUGGAAACGGCUGCUAAUACCGCAUAAGCGCACAGUAUCGCAUGAUGCAGUGUGAAAAACUCCGGUGGUAUAAGAUGGACCCGCGUUGGAUUAGCUAGUUGGUGAGGUAACGGCCCACCAAGGCGACGAUCCAUAGCCGACCUGAGAGGGUGACCGGCCACAUUGGGACUGAGACACGGCCCAAACUCCUACGGGAGGCAGCAGUGGGGAAUACUGCACAAUGGGCGAAAGCCUGAUGCAGCGACGCCGCGUGAGCGAAGAAGUAUUUCGGUAUGUAAAGCUCUAUCAGCAGGGAAGAUAAUGACGGUACCUGACUAAGAAGCACCGGCUAAAUACGUGCCAGCAGCCGCGGUAAUACGUAUGGUGCAAGCGUUAUCCGGAUUUACUGGGUGUAAAGGGAGCGCAGGCGGUGCGGCAAGUCUGAUGUGAAAGCCCGGGGCUCAACCCCGGUACUGCAUUGGAAACUGUCGUACUAGAGUGUCGGAGGGGUAAGCGGAAUUCCUAGUGUAGCGGUGAAAUGCGUGGAUAUUAGGAGGAACAC